Molecule: ribosomal RNA, 253 nt
Filed under: uncultured bacterium
Lineage: Bacteria
Description: partial 16S ribosomal RNA
Rfam family: Bacterial small subunit ribosomal RNA
Source: RNAcentral
UACGGAGGGUGCAAGCGUUGCUCGGAAUCACUGGGCGUAAAGGGUGCGUAGGCGGGUCUUUAAGUCAGGGGUGAAAUCCUGGAGCUCAACUCCAGAACUGCCUUUGAUACUGAAGAUCUUGAGUUCGGGAGAGGUGAGUGGAACUGCGAGUGUAGAGGUGAAAUUCGUAGAUAUUCGCAAGAACACCAGUGGCGAAGGCGGCUCACUGGCCCGAUACUGACGCUGAGGCACGAAAGCGUGGGGAGCAAACAGG